Molecule: transfer RNA, 71 nt
Filed under: Loxodonta africana (African savanna elephant)
Lineage: Eukaryota; Metazoa; Chordata; Mammalia; Proboscidea; Elephantidae
Rfam family: tRNA
About the family: Transfer RNA (tRNA) molecules are approximately 80 nucleotides in length.
Source: Rfam by way of RNAcentral
GCAGUGUUGAUUUAGUGGUAGAAUUCUUGCCUUCCAUGCUGGAGAUCUGGGUGUAAUUCCCAGCCAACGUA